UGGGGAAUAUUGGACAAUGGGGGCAACCCUGAUCCAGCGAUGCCGCGUGUGUGAAGAAGGCCUGAGGGUUGUAAAGCACUUUAGUUGUUGAGGAAGGUUGUGUGGUGAAUACCCGCAUGACUUGACGGUAAACAAAGAAUAAGCACCGGCUAACUCUGUGCCAGCAGCCGCGGUAAUACAGAGGGUGCAAGCGUUAAUCGGAAUUACUGGGCGUAAAGCGUGCGCAGGCGGUUAUGCAAGACAGGUGUGAAAUCCCCGGGCUUAACCUGGGAACUGCACUUGUGACUGCAUAGCUGGAGUACGGCAGAGGGGGAUGGAAUUCCGCGUGUAGCAGUGAAAUGCGUAGAUAUCGGAAGGAAUACCGGUGGCGAAGGCGUCUUCCUGGACUCUAACUGACACUGAGGCGCGAAAGCAUGGGGAUCAAACAGGAUUAGAUACCCAAGUAGUCCCUGAGCGGGCUGGCAAGGCGCAU
This 472-nucleotide ribosomal RNA is filed under the name uncultured bacterium. RNAcentral describes it as "bacterial SSU rRNA". It matches the Rfam family "Bacterial small subunit ribosomal RNA", at positions 355 to 825 of the family's 1533-position model. The record is from RNAcentral.